CAGCAGCCGCGGUAAAACGUAGGUGGCAAGCGUUGUCCGGAAUUAUUGGGCGUAAAGGGCUCGCAGGCGGUUUCUUAAGCCUGAUGUGAAAGCCCCCGGCUCAACCGGGGAGGGUCAUUGGAAACUGGGAAACUUGAGUGCAGAAGAGGAGAGUGGAAUUCCACGUGUAGCGGUGAAAUGCGUAGAGAUGUGGAGGAACACCAGUGGCGAAGGCGACUCUCUGGUCUGUAACUGACGCUGAGGAGCGAAAGCGUGGGGAGCGAACAGGAUUAGAUACCCCUGUAGUCCCUGUCUCUUAUAC
RNAcentral lists this ribosomal RNA (301 nucleotides) under uncultured bacterium. RNAcentral describes it as "partial 16S ribosomal RNA". It matches the Rfam family "Bacterial small subunit ribosomal RNA", at positions 509 to 807 of the family's 1533-position model. The record is from RNAcentral.